Hemibagrus wyckioides is the source of this 427-nucleotide long non-coding RNA. RefSeq lists it as uncharacterized. The transcript is spliced from 3 exons. The record is from RefSeq and is a predicted model, not a curated record. Lineage: Eukaryota; Metazoa; Chordata; Actinopteri; Siluriformes; Bagridae.
GGAGCUGGACUCUCCGUGAGAUCGGCUGUGCUGCGGGGCUGCUCGCUGUCUCUGCAGGGGCAGGUUACUGCGUUUACCGCUACUUGCAGGGACAAAGCGCUGCUGCUGACCACACUCAGCCAGCUCACGACUCUGCAGAUGUGCUGGGAGGAUCACUUGAUACUCCCUCUAUCCUCCAGGUAUUUGUCAGAUAAAUAGUCAGAUUUUAACUAAAUUUAAACAUAUAGGCUGCUACUAAUUGUGUGUGUGUGUGUGUGAGUGUGUGUGUGUGUGUGUGAAGGUCAUUGAGCCGGAAAUGCUGCCUCUUCCCACCACGUCUUACCGUGACACUUCAGCUGUCAGUCUGCCUCCCAAUGCUGGUGAGCUGAACAGAGCCUGGUGCGAUGAUCAGGUUCAGUCUCCAGACUCCUUCAGCUCCCAGUCUGAG